This 877-nucleotide ribosomal RNA is filed under the name Pseudarthrobacter phenanthrenivorans. Its description in RNAcentral is "bacterial SSU rRNA". It matches the Rfam family "Bacterial small subunit ribosomal RNA", at positions 56 to 952 of the family's 1533-position model. The record is from RNAcentral. Lineage: Bacteria; Bacillati; Actinomycetota; Actinomycetes; Micrococcales; Micrococcaceae.
UGCAAGUCGAACGAUGAUCCGGUGCUUGCACCGGGGAUUAGUGGCGAACGGGUGAGUAACACGUGAGUAACCUGCCCUUAACUCUGGGAUAAGCCUGGGAAACUGGGUCUAAUACCGGAUAUGACUGAUCAUCGCAUGGUGGUUGGUGGAAAGCUUUUUUGUGGUUUUGGAUGGACUCGCGGCCUAUCAGCUUGUUGGUGAGGUAAUGGCUUACCAAGGCGACGACGGGUAGCCGGCCUGAGAGGGUGACCGGCCACACUGGGACUGAGACACGGCCCAGACUCCUACGGGAGGCAGCAGUGGGGAAUAUUGCACAAUGGGCGCAAGCCUGAUGCAGCGACGCCGCGUGAGGGAUGACGGCCUUCGGGUUGUAAACCUCUUUCAGUAGGGAAGAAGCGAAAGUGACGGUACCUGCAGAAGAAGCGCCGGCUAACUACGUGCCAGCAGCCGCGGUAAUACGUAGGGCGCAAGCGUUAUCCGGAAUUAUUGGGCGUAAAGAGCUCGUAGGCGGUUUGUCGCGUCUGCCGUGAAAGUCCGGGGCUCAACUCCGGAUCUGCGGUGGGUACGGGCAGACUAGAGUGAUGUAGGGGAGACUGGAAUUCCUGGUGUAGCGGUGAAAUGCGCAAAUAUCAGGAGGAACACCGAUGGCGAAGGCAGGUCUCUGGGCAUUAACUGACGCUGAGGACCGAAAGCAUGGGGAGCGAACAGGAUUAGAUACCCUGGUAGUCCAUGCCGUAAACGUUGGGCACUAGGUGUGGGGACAUUCCACGUUUCCGCGCCGUAGCUAACGCAUUAAGUGCCCCGCCUGGGGAGUACGGCCGCAAGGCUAAACUCAAGGAUUGACGGGGCCCGCACAACGCGGACAUGCGAUUAAUUC